Homo sapiens (human) is the source of this 580-nucleotide long non-coding RNA. The record is from Ensembl. NCBI's taxonomy places the organism in Eukaryota, Metazoa, Chordata, Mammalia, Primates, Hominidae.
UAAUAGUUUACUGUUGUAAUUCAUUUAUAACAUGUGUUGGACAACUUAGCUAAUAUGUUAAUUGAUUUAUACAAUUCCUUUCAAUUUUAUCUAAAAAUAGCAGACCAAAAUUAAAUAAGAAAGUUACAUAAGAUUCCAUUUGAGCAUACAUAAGGCCAUGAUACUUUAAUGUGAACCACCAUUUCUUGGAAGAAAGAAGACAUCCAAAUGUCCGAUUCAGAGAGAAAGUUCCUGGCCAGUCAUCCAGUAGACUCUCUCCACUCUUCAAUGUGAAGGUAUGGCCCAUCUCCUGUACGCUUGGAGCGACCUUUGGCUAUGUGGCUGGCCUUGUUAUUUCACCACUCUGGAUAUACUGGAAUAGAAAGCAACUUACAUACCAGAACAAUUAACCGGAACAAAGGGAGAUAUUUCUUUGUGCAGAUUCUGUAAGGGCUGUGCAGAAAUGUGUAUGGUCAAAGCCAAGCAGUUCCAUUUACAGCUCUGUUUUUUAUGUAGUUACAACAUGAUGUGAUUGUAGCUUUUUAAACUAUGAAACCUCUGAGAGAUUGUACCUUCUAGUUGAAAUAAAGUAUUUAUAAUA